UACGUAGGUGACAAGCGUUGUCCGGAUUUACUGGGCGUAAAGAGCGCGCAGGCGGUCGAUCAAGUCGAGUGUGAAAGCCCCCGGCUCAACUGGGGAGGGUCAUUCGAAACUGGUCGACUCGAAGGCAGGAGAGGGUAGUGGAAUUCCCGGUGUAGUGGUGAAAUGCGUAGAUAUCUGGAGGAACACCGGUGGCGAAGGCGGCAUCCUGGACCGGUAUUGACGCUGAGGCGCGAAAGCCAGGGGAGCAAACGGG
RNAcentral lists this ribosomal RNA (253 nucleotides) under uncultured bacterium. RNAcentral's name for it is "partial 16S ribosomal RNA". It matches the Rfam family "Bacterial small subunit ribosomal RNA", at positions 524 to 776 of the family's 1533-position model. The record is from RNAcentral.